This 370-nucleotide long non-coding RNA is filed under the name Ananas comosus (pineapple). RNAcentral describes it as "long non-coding RNA (ACOM_LNC028269)". The record is from RNAcentral. Lineage: Eukaryota; Viridiplantae; Streptophyta; Magnoliopsida; Poales; Bromeliaceae.
AAUUGUAUCAGAAAACUCAACAACAACAGAUAAAAUAUACGCCUAAUUUGGCCACAGUUCUAACUGCAGUAGUGAUCAUGUUUGGUUUGUCCGUAAGUAGAGGGGCAAAAGUGGCAUUUCAGAAAGUGGGGUCACUUUGAUAUAUAGUUUGGCUUCUUGAUGUUGAUAUAAAAAUCACUUUUUAAAAGUGGAUAGAAAAAGUGAAUUAUAACUAAAUUUUUUUUUUUUAUUUUGGCUCGAAAAAUUUGUAAGUCAUUGGAAGUAGGGAAUCUAUGUGAAGAGUUGGAAUUUGAUGGAGAAUAAAAAUAAAUUUUGUUUUUAAUAGUUAAUUUUUGAUGUCUGCUUAAGUUAUUUGAAUCUGAUCAGUAAA